This 459-nucleotide ribosomal RNA is filed under the name uncultured bacterium. Its description in RNAcentral is "partial 16S ribosomal RNA". It matches the Rfam family "Bacterial small subunit ribosomal RNA", at positions 338 to 795 of the family's 1533-position model. The record is from RNAcentral.
CCUACGGGAGGCAGCAGUGAGGAAUAUUGGUCAAUGGUCGGGAGACUGAACCAGCCAAGCCGCGUGAGGGAGGAAGGUACAGAGUAUCGUAAACCUCUUUUGUCAGGGAACAAAGGCGGGGACGUGUCCCCGGAUGAGUGUACCUGAAGAAAAAGCAUCGGCUAACUCCGUGCCAGCAGCCGCGGUAAUACGGAGGAUGCGAGCGUUAUCCGGAUUUAUGGGGUUUAAAGGGUGCGCAGGCGGUCUGUUAAGUCAGCGGUCAAAGCCCGGGGCUCAACCCCGGCCCGCCGUUGAAACUGGCAGUCUCGAGUUGGAGAGAAGUAUGCGGAAGGCGCGGUGUAGCGGUGAAAUGCAUAGAUAUCGCGCAGAACUCCGAUUGCGAAGGCAGCAUGCCGGCUCCACACUGACGCUGAGGCACGAAAGCGUGGGUAUCGAACAGGAUUAGAUACCCUAGUAGUC